GGCUCCUGCAUCAGAAAAGAGAUAAGGGGUCCGGCCUGCCCGGUGAGGUUAUGGCUUUUAACGGCUGCAUUAAUAAGUACUAAGGUAGCACAAUUAGCUUGCCCUUUAAUUGUGGUGCGAUACGUGAAUGGCAAGAAGAGAGUUCAGCUGUCUCGGUGUUGAUGAUAUGAAAAUAUAGUGUAGGUGAAGAUGCCUACAUGACGUAGGGGGAAGAGAAGACCCCGUGGAACUUUAAUGAUAGCCUGUAAAUAAUGAUAAUUUCUGGUAAAAAUGCUUUGUAGUUAAUCGGUAAUAAUUUGGGUGUUCAUAUUAGGCUGGGGCAGCUAGGUAAGCGAAGUAUAUUAUCGAAGGGGCGAUAAAAGCGCGCUUGCUAAUAAGAUCCACUAGAACGGUGAUCUUCGGAAUUAGUUACCCCGGGGGUAACAGGUUAUUCUCGUUGUGUGAGGACGUAUUGACGACGGGGUUUUGGCCC
RNAcentral lists this ribosomal RNA (472 nucleotides) under Lima lima. RNAcentral describes it as "partial 16S ribosomal RNA". It matches the Rfam family "Bacterial large subunit ribosomal RNA", at positions 1819 to 2524 of the family's 2925-position model. Lineage: Eukaryota; Metazoa; Mollusca; Bivalvia; Limoida; Limidae. The record is from RNAcentral.